Molecule: long non-coding RNA, 1410 nt
Organism: Larimichthys crocea (large yellow croaker)
Lineage: Eukaryota; Metazoa; Chordata; Actinopteri; Sciaenidae
Exons: 4
Source: RefSeq, a predicted model, not a curated record
AGAACGGACAUUUCCUUUCAUGCGCGUCUUUCCAGUCACGUUGUGCAGCAUUAUGGACUAUUUAAUGACCAUUUUCAUACUGACAGUCGCUCCAGCAGUUGGACAGAGUGACAUUAAGACAGUGACUGGGACGGCUGGACAGAACAUCACUCUGCACACUGGAGUUACUGGACUACAUGGAGACUAUCAAGUCAUCUGGUCUUAUGGGUCAGAGAAUCACGUCCUGUUCAACUUUGAUAGAGGAGAUGUGCCGACGAAACACAAAGAUUCCACCUGGACCCAGAGACCGGAUCAUUGACCAUCCUGUCCCUCAGCACCAAAGACAAUGGACUUUACCAGGGACAGAUCAUCAAUGGCAAUGGGUCAAUGCACAAGUUUAACCUGACUGUUGUUGAGGCUGAUCCCAUCACACCAACCAUCGGACCUCCACACAGUGUUACGGCUGGCCAGAGGAACCAUCAUGCUGUUGGUGUAUCACUUGCAUUAUUUGGCCUUGUGUGCAUUGUGCUGUAGAAAGAGGAAGCUGCUAGGACAACAUCGUCUGAGGCCUGACAUCCAACUGUGACCUUCUGCUUCACCACACUUGACCUUCUAGACAGUUUCUGCUCACAACACAGCAUUGAAACAGCCGUCACCAAAGACAUCCUCCUCUCUGCAGUCUUUGGUCAGCUCAGCAUCCUCAUCCUCCUGGACCUCACUGAAGCAUUUGACACCAUUAACCACACCAUUCUUCUCUCCUGUUCAUCCACAUCAAAAAUGGGUCAGCUUAGGUGUCUUGGUCCCCGCCAGAAGUACAACUUCAGUCAAAUUGUCUUCAAGAAGUAAAGCAGGAUUCAUCAAAGCUGGCUGUAGAUGAACUUUAUUUUCUUCAUAGACAAACAAAGCCUGAGUCUCUCAUGGAUAGACUGAUCUGUCUGUCCCCAAACAUCUCCCUUUAAACCCUCAAAUGUUAUAUAACCAUAGCAUAAGUCCAGCCCAUCUUCCCCCAUCUAUGACGUAAUGGUGUAAAUCCAUCAAACUUUGGGGACUUUCCCCUUAAUGGUGUCUAAAUUCUUCAGGCUAUAUCACCCCGUCCUUUGCACACACUUUCUGUCAGGCCUUGAGCAUGUCUUCCAGCAUGAUUCACAGUGUGAUGCCCUAAGGGCAUCCUGAGUGUGUCCCUUCCUCCUCUCCUGGGUGUGGUUUCUUUGUCUGCAGGUGUUUAUGACACAGCAGCCAGGCACUCACUUUCUUCUGCUCUCUCUGGCUCUGCCCUGUACUGGGCUCCUCUGCUCCCAGUAUGGUUGGUUGGUUUUUAAUGUGUCCUAAUUUGAUUUAAUAAAGAAUAGUUUAAACAGAUGUACAUGGUGUGGACUCAUGUCAUGACAACAAGCUUCAGGCUCUGUGGCCUGCAAUGUGCCAAGCUUCUCU